Molecule: RNA transcript, 594 nt
Organism: Apis mellifera (honey bee)
Lineage: Eukaryota; Metazoa; Arthropoda; Insecta; Hymenoptera; Apidae
Exons: 3
Source: RefSeq, a predicted model, not a curated record
AAAGUAAUUUGAUUUUUCAAAAAAUGAGCUUUUUUUAAUAAGAAAUUAACGAACCUCGAAGGUGAAAUGAUUAUCCAUUCUCUGAGGAAAACUGCUUAAGGAAUAAAAAAAAGGAAUAAGAAAAGAAGAAAUUCGACGUGAUUGGAAUUAGAUGUCGAUCGUGAGUUGCAUCAUUACCAAAUCUUGGGUGAAUAGCCAUUUUUUUUUUUUAUUUUUUAUUUUUCGUAAGUCGAUCGGAGAAAGCUCGUUUCGAUAUCACGAAAUCGAGUCUGGAAGAUCGCUCGAACGUGAGCAAAAUUGAUUAGAUCGUGAUGAGUAUCGAAAAUUGUAAAUCAGGAAAAGAGAAAGCGUGAAUGUAAAUAAUAAAGUGGAAGGAAGAAAUAAGGUUUUUAAAUUUAAUUUAUUUAAUUGCUAUGAUUUCUUAUUGACUUGCUUAUUGAAAUUUUAUUUACAUACAACAAAUUGAUAAUGAUGGAAAAAAAUCAAAUUAUAUCUAAUUCUACUUGCUUAAACAAUUUUUUUGUCUAAAAUCUCUUAAUGUAAGUAAAAGUACUAUUUAUAUUAUAAUAUUUGGCAUUAUUAAUUUGAGAACAA